CUUAACAUUCACACUUUAGAUAAAAUAAGCCCAACUUCGUCUUAUCUCAGAAGCUAAGCAGGGUUGGGCCUGGUUAGUACUUGGAUGGGAGGCCACCUAGGAAGACCAAGUGCUGUAGGC
This 120-nucleotide ribosomal RNA is filed under the name Pteropus vampyrus (large flying fox). Lineage: Eukaryota; Metazoa; Chordata; Mammalia; Chiroptera; Pteropodidae. The record is from RNAcentral.